CUUUACUAUAACUUUGCAGUGGCGCCAGAAUUGUCAUGUGUAGGAUAGGUGGGAGGCUUUGAAGCCGGAGCGCCAGCUUCGGUGGAGCCAUCCUUGAAAUACCACCCUUGACUCUUCUGUCGUCUAACUCAGUCCCGUUAUCCGGGACGAGGACCCUGCAUGGUGGGUAGUUUGACUGGGGCGGUCGCCUCCCAAACAGUAACGGAGGCGCGCGAUGGUGGGCUCAGGUUGGUCGGAAAUCAACCCGUGAGUGCAAUGGCAUAAGCCCGCCUGACUGUAAGACUGACAAGUCGAGCAGAGACGAAAGUCGGUCAUAGUGAUCCGGUGGUUCCUCAUGGAAGGGCCAUCGCUCAACGAAUAAAAGGUA
This 367-nucleotide ribosomal RNA is filed under the name uncultured organism. Its description in RNAcentral is "bacterial LSU rRNA". It matches the Rfam family "Bacterial large subunit ribosomal RNA", at positions 2099 to 2465 of the family's 2925-position model. The record is from RNAcentral.